AUGCCAUUUCUAGUUCACAUAAAUGAAUUGAAAUAUACAAUAAAUAAAAACAAUAAGAAAAAACUAAACCAAAACACAUGCACAGCCGCACAACAUAUACAUACGGUAACAACUAACAACACCUUUUUUUGGAUAGAAAAUAUACAAUAACACUUAAACAGACACACGCAAAUCAAAGAAUGGGUUGAAUCCAACCCGAAAAGGAACAAAACACAACUGAAAAAGUAAUAACAAAAUUAAACAAACUUAGAAAGUUCUAUUUGUUGAAGCAAGAAGUAAAUCGCACAAGUAGAUAUGGAUGGGACGUGAGACACAGAGAGCGUGAGAAAAAGAGGGCUGAGAGAAAGAAAAAAAAUUGCAGAGAAGAUCGUGAUGGUGGUUUAUGGUGGCUAUCUAGUUGGAGAAGAUGUUGACUUGUAGAAAAAUAGAUUUUUGGGUUUCCUCUCUUGUAUAUUUCCUCUUGUUGUGCUUAUGAGAAGGAAAAUGAGGAUAAUUAUUAGAGAAGCUUUCUAUGAAAAUGGGUUAAUGCACUGAAAUAAAGGCUCCUCUCUUUUGCUUUACUACAUUUUUUUUUCUAUUGUGAUUUAUCCCUCUUUGUAAUAUUUUCG
RNAcentral lists this long non-coding RNA (608 nucleotides) under Cicer arietinum (chickpea). RNAcentral describes it as "long non-coding RNA (CARI_LNC003099)". The record is from RNAcentral. Lineage: Eukaryota; Viridiplantae; Streptophyta; Magnoliopsida; Fabales; Fabaceae.